Amphiprion ocellaris (clown anemonefish) is the source of this 860-nucleotide long non-coding RNA. The record is from Ensembl. NCBI's taxonomy places the organism in Eukaryota, Metazoa, Chordata, Actinopteri, Pomacentridae.
GAGUGACCGGUGACUGGCUGCUGCAGCCAAUGAUGCGAUUCACAUACGUAUUUACCAUAGACUGUAUAUAAUGGUAUUUACGCAGCUAAUCAACGUCAGGCGUCCUUAUGUGCAGCCACCGCUGUUCUCAUAGAUAUGAAUGAGUAGAUAGGACACGCCCCUUUGAGCUGCGUGCUACAGCGAGGCUAAGCUAGUGGGGGAAAAGUUUCAGUGCAUUCUGUUGAUGUAGACGGCGUGAAAACGGAAACAACAAGUAUGCCGUCUCACUGUACUGCAUAUAGUUACACACUACGUCGUACGAUUGAGACAAGGAAACUUGGAAUGACUUUUCAUAGGUUUCCCAGAGACUAUGGGUUGAGGAGGAAUUGGAAGUUUGUCGGCUUAGACCUGGUGUUAUUCCAUCAGUGUUAAACUUCCCGGCUCAUCUUGGAAGAGUACGUGCCAGAAAGACCACGACCAAGCAGCCUUGAGAUCUUAGACAGCGUCUCCCUGAGGUCCCUCUCUAUCUCCCCACACAUCCACCAACCACUGGAACACAUCUCCAAAGUUCUGCUGGUCCAGCUCAGCUUCCCCUCAGAAGAAGUGCCGCUACCUGCCAGAUGAAGGAGCCUUUUGAGAGGCAGCUGGCAUCAUGAUUGGACUGUACUUUGGUCUGUUCCAAUCCAGCUUCAGCUCCAGAGACGGCAGGCGGGACGAGUCAACGGAGGCCGGGUGGACGAAAGCAUGCAGCUGAGUACAAUCCAGAAAACAACAGAGGAGGAGUGCAGCGGUACAAUAUACAAUAUACAUCGUAUAUUGUACAAAUAACAAGUCAAAGGAAAGAGACAUACAUUGUAGAAUUGUAGUAAUUGUGGGCUGAC